Podarcis lilfordi (Lilford's wall lizard) is the source of this 1203-nucleotide non-coding RNA. NCBI's taxonomy places the organism in Eukaryota, Metazoa, Chordata, Lepidosauria, Squamata, Lacertidae. The record is from the annotation of a GenBank genome assembly.
CUCUUACUGUCAGGAAGUUCUUCCUAAUGUUUAGGUGGAAUCUUCUUUCUUGUAGUUUGGAUCCAUUGCUCCGUGUCCGCUUCUCUGGAGCAGCAGAAAACAACCUUUCUCCCUCCUCUAUGUGACAUCCUUUUAUAUAUUUGAACAUGGCUAUCAUAUCACCCCUUAACCUCCUCUUCUCCAGGCUAAACAUGCCCAGCUCCCUUAGCCGUUCCUCCUAAGGCAUCGUUUCCAGGCCUUUGACCAUUUUGGUUGCCCUCCUCUGGACACGUUCCAGUUUGUCAGUGUCCUUCUUGAACUGUGGUGCCCAGAACUGGACACAGUAUUCCAGGUGAGGUCUGACCAGAGCAGAAUACAGUGGCACUAUUACUUCCCUUGAUCUAGAUGCUAUACUCCUAUUGAUGCAGCCCAGAAUUGCAUUGGCUUUUUUAGCUGCCGCGUCACACUGUUGGCUCAUGUCAAGUUUGUGGUCAACCAAGACUCCUAGAUCCUUUUCACAUGUACUGCUCUCAAGCCAGUUGUCACCCAUCUUGUAUUUGUGCCUCUCAUUUUUUUUGCCCAAGUGCAAUACUUUACAUUUCUCCCUGUUAAAAUUCAUCUUGUUUGUUUUGGCCCUCUAAUCUGUCAAGGUCGUUUUGAAGUGUGAUCCUGUCCUCUGGGGUGUUAGCCACCCCUCCCAGUUUGGUGUCAUCUGCAAAUUUGAUCAGGAUGCCCUUGAGUCCAUCAUCCAAGUCGUUGAUAAAGAUGUUGAAUAAGACCGGGCCCAAGACAGAACCCUGUGGCACCCCACUAGUCACUCUUCUCCAGGAUGAAGAGGAACCAUUGAUGAGCACCCUUUGGGUUCGGUCAGUCAGCCAGUUACAAAUCCACUGAGUGGUAGCAUAGUCAAGACCGCAUUUUACCAGCUUCUUUACAAGAAUAUCAUGGGGCACCUUGUCAAAUGCCUUGCUGAAAUCAAGGUAGGCUACAUCCACUGCGUUCCCUUCAUCUACCAGGCUUGUAAUUCUGUCAAAAAAUGAGAUCAGGUUAGUCUGACAUGACUUAUUUUUCAGAAAUCCAUGCUGACUAUUGGUGAUCACAGCAUUCCUUUCUAGGUGCUCACAGACUGUUUGCUUAAUGAUCUUUCCCCCUCCUCCUCCCCGUUUACAUAAAGGUUUAAAUAAGAUUUUAUAAAAUUAUUUCUGAAAGAUUCAUUUCCAACAU